Molecule: ribosomal RNA, 33 nt
Filed under: Candida albicans
Lineage: Eukaryota; Fungi; Ascomycota; Pichiomycetes; Serinales; Debaryomycetaceae
Description: partial 18S ribosomal RNA
Source: RNAcentral
CUUCCCGUAGGGGGACCUGCGGAAGGAUCAUUA